AUUGAACGCUGGCGGCAGGCCUAACACAUGCAAGUCGAACGGUAACAGGAAGAAGCUUGCUUCUUUGCUGACGAGUGGCGGACGGGUGAGUAAUGUCUGGGAAACUGCCUGAUGGAGGGGGAUAACUACUAGAAACGGUAGCUAAUACCGCAUAAUGUCGCAAGACCAAAGAGGGGGACCUUCGGGCCUCUUGCCAUCGGAUGUGCCCAGAUGGGAUUAGCUAGUAGGUGGGGUAACGGCUCACCUAGGCGACGAUCCCUAGCUGGUCUGAGAGGAUGACCAGCCACACUGGAACUGAGACACGGUCCAGACUCCUACGGGAGGCAGCAGUGGGGAAUAUUGCACAAUGGGCGCAAGCCUGAUGCAGCUAUGCCGCGUGUAUGAAGAAGGCCUUCGGGUUGUAAAGUACUUUCAGCGGGGAGGAAGGGAGUAAAGUUAAUACCUUUGCUCAUUGACGUUACCCGCAGAAGAAGCACCGGCUAACUCCGUG
This 490-nucleotide ribosomal RNA is filed under the name uncultured bacterium. RNAcentral describes it as "partial 16S ribosomal RNA". It matches the Rfam family "Bacterial small subunit ribosomal RNA", at positions 30 to 507 of the family's 1533-position model. The record is from RNAcentral.